RNAcentral lists this unclassified non-coding RNA (371 nucleotides) under soil metagenome. RNAcentral describes it as "partial contains 5.8S ribosomal RNA, internal transcribed spacer 2, and large subunit ribosomal RNA". The stretch from base 1 to 120 matches the Rfam family "5.8S ribosomal RNA", at positions 35 to 154 of the family's 154-position model. The record is from RNAcentral.
GAUGAAGAACGUAGCGAAAUGCGAUAAGUAGUGUGAAUUGCAGAAUUCCGUGAAUCAUCGAAUCUUUGAACGCACAUUGCGCCCCCUGGAAUUCCGGGGGGCAUGCCUGUUCGAGCGUCUCAGGGACGAACCCUCGCGCGGGUGUACGCGCGGUCGUGGCUGCGGUGGCGUGCCCGAGGCGGCGGCCACCGCGCUGGAAUCCAUGGGCGGACGCCUGCCGCGUGGCCGAGCGUGAUAUGACGCAUUGGCGCUCGCACGCGGAGAGGCUGCCAGCCCUGGCCCGUCUGUCGGGCGGGGGAGAGCAAGACACGUGAACUCCUCGAAUCAGGUAGGGAUACCCGCUGAACUUAAGCAUAUCAAUAAGCGGAGGA